AUUCCAGCUCCAAUAGCGUAUAUUAAAGUUGUUGCAGUUAAAAAGCUCGUAGUUGGAUUUCUGAUAGGGAGCCGAUCACCACUGUUGUGAGUGUUAGGUACCUGUCAUCCUUCUGUUAACCCCUGCGGCAUUCAUUUGUCGUUGGGCGGACCAGAUACUUUACCUUGAGAAAAUUAGAGUGUUUCAGGCAGGCCUAGCCGGAAUACAUUAGCAUGGAAUAAUGGAAUAGGACUAUAGUCUCGUCGUUGGUUACGUGGACUGCAGUAAUGAUUAAUAGGGAUAGUUGGGGGCGUUUAUAUUCCGUUGUCAGAGGUGAAAUUCUUGGAUUUACGGAAGAUAAACUACUGCGAAAGCAUUUACCAAGGAUGUUUUCAUUG
Molecule: ribosomal RNA, 377 nt
Filed under: Strombidiidae sp.
Lineage: Eukaryota; Ciliophora; Spirotrichea; Strombidiidae
Description: partial small subunit ribosomal RNA
Rfam family: Eukaryotic small subunit ribosomal RNA
Source: RNAcentral